GGAACUGUGCCCGAGUGCCAGGGGCCACUUUGAUAGAGUGGCUUACAGGGGCUAAAAUCCCCUCGGUUCU
RNAcentral lists this transfer RNA (70 nucleotides) under Cyprinella leedsi (bannerfin shiner). RNAcentral's name for it is "tRNA-Ile". Lineage: Eukaryota; Metazoa; Chordata; Actinopteri; Cypriniformes; Leuciscidae. The record is from RNAcentral.